AGUGAACGCUGGCGGUAGGCCUAACACAUGCAAGUCGAACGGCAGCACAGUAAGAGCUUGCUCUUACGGGUGGCGAGUGGCGGACGGGUGAGGAAUACAUCGGAAUCUACUUUUUCGUGGGGGAUAACGUAGGGAAACUUACGCUAAUACCGCAUACGACCUACGGGUGAAAGCAGGGGAUCUUCGGACCUUGCGCGAUUGAAUGAGCCGAUGUCGGAUUAGCUAGUUGGCGGGGUAAAGGCCCACCAAGGCGACGAUCCGUAGCUGGUCUGAGAGGAUGAUCAGUCACCCUGGAACUGAGAAACGGUCCAGACUCCUACGGGAGGCAGCGGGGGGGAAUAUUGGAAAAUGGGCGGAAGCCUGAUCCAGCCAUACCGGGGGGGUGAAGAAGGCCUUCGGGUUGUAAAGCCCUUUUGUUGGGAAAGAAAAGCAGCAGGUUAAAACCCCGCUGUUCUGACGGUACCCAAAGAAAAAGCCCCGGCUAACUUCGU
RNAcentral lists this ribosomal RNA (491 nucleotides) under uncultured bacterium. Its description in RNAcentral is "partial 16S ribosomal RNA". It matches the Rfam family "Bacterial small subunit ribosomal RNA", at positions 29 to 506 of the family's 1533-position model. The record is from RNAcentral.